This is a long non-coding RNA of Vidua macroura (Pin-tailed whydah), 1428 nucleotides long. RefSeq lists it as uncharacterized. The record is from RefSeq and is a predicted model, not a curated record. The transcript has 3 exons. NCBI's taxonomy places the organism in Eukaryota, Metazoa, Chordata, Aves, Passeriformes, Viduidae.
CAGGGGCCCCCAACGGCUGCUCUGUCGGGCUGCGCAGGCCGCACCGCCCCUCUCCGCCCUGUCCUCGCCUCUGGCGUGGGUUCUGGCCGUGGCGCGUCACCCCCGCGGGUCGUCCUUGCUCAGCCCGGCUUGCCUGGCCGGCCUCGGCAACCGCGGCGGUGGCAGCAGCGCAAGGGAAAGCCUCAGCAGGGUGUGGGCAUUGCAGAAGGUCUUCCGCUGGGCCCGUGCCGGCGUGCGCCGCGUCUGCGGACACAGCCGCUCUGCUGGCUGCGGUGCGGCCUGCGCGCCCAUUCCUUUGGUGUCCUUGACUCCUUUGAUGGAUAUGGUUGCCCUAGUAGCUUAACUUUAGAAGUGAAGCUAAACGGCGGUUCAGCUUGGACAUCAGAGGAAUUUAUUCACAGAAAGCGCGACUAGACAUUGGAAUGAGCUGCCCGGGGAGGUGGUUAAGUCACCAUCCUGGAGGUGUUCAAGGAAAGACUGGAUGUGGCGCUCAGUGCCACGGUCUAGUUGUCAAGCUCAUCCUGCAUUUUUCAUCACCACCAUCCUCCAUCUGUGUAUUACUUGUGUUGUUAUAAAUUUGGCAACACUUCAGCAGCGAGCUACUGUUUAUAACAAGAGAUCCCAGCAGCUAAAAGAAGCCAGUCAUUGGGAUUACUCAUAACUUGCCUUGUGAACUGCUCAAGGGAAUUUCUUGAAGAACUGUGUCAAAAUCAGCUUUAGAAACGAUUAAUUUGAGAGCUUUUAUUGACACAUAAGAAGUGUUCCGAGAUUAUUGCUGGCCGAGUUGGUGGGCUUGGAAGGAAGAUUCUUUUUGCUGGCACUGAGAGAAAAUUUUCUCAUUUUGUGCACGGAAACAAGGAUAAAAUAAGCUUUUUUCCUCUCUGCAAGAAGAAAUCUGACGCAGUGGGAACUCAAUCACCCGGAUACCAUGAAUGCUUGCAGAAGGAUACAUUCUCUCCGUGCUCACAGACAGAAAACUAAUGGAAACAGAAGUGAGAACUGGCCCAGCACCUCUGGGUUCAAGCACCAGCAUGGAGAUGAUCUUGUUACAGUCCACACCCUUUACACAGUGAUCAUCAUGAUCCUUCUAGGGGCACUCUGGGGAGCCUGGUCAAGAAAGGAUUCAUCCUUAUAACAGCAAUAUAGCAACUUUCUUUGUCAAAUAUUUAAAGAGAUAUUUGUGUCAAUUAUCCAUACUCAAGAGGUAUAAAAAAUGGUCUCAGCGUAUUUCAGUUUACUUGAAACUGCUUAAAUGGUUGCUACUUGUGGAAGUGAAUCUAUGAAGCAUUUAACAAGCCAUGUACGGAACCUAAUUUUGUGAAUAACGGAGACCUGUUUGACCUGUACACAUUUAUGUUACCCUCAGCAUGUAUAUGAAACUUUAAGCAUGAUAUUCUAGAAAGAAGAGUUCAACUUCUGUUUUAUUGG